Molecule: unclassified non-coding RNA, 334 nt
Filed under: uncultured fungus
Lineage: Eukaryota; Fungi
Description: partial contains 5.8S ribosomal RNA and internal transcribed spacer 2
Rfam family: 5.8S ribosomal RNA (bases 1-133)
Source: RNAcentral
UGGUUCUGGCAUCGAUGAAGAACGCAGCGAAAUGCGAUAAGUAAUGUGAAUUGCAGAAUUCAGUGAAUCAUCGAAUCUUUGAACGCACAUUGCGCCCGCUGGAAUUCCAGCGGGCAUGCCUGUUCGAGCGUCAUUUCAACCCUCAAGCCUGGCUUGGUGUUGGGGCGCUACCCGUCAAACGGUAGGCCCUAAAAUUUAGUGGCGGGCUCGCUAAGACUCUGAGCGUAGUAGUUUUUAAUCACCUCGCUUUGGAAGGAUUAGCGGUGCGCUUGCCGUAAAACCCCCCCUUUCUCUCUGAAAUUUUGACCUCGGAUCAGGUAGGAAUACCCGCUGA